RNAcentral lists this long non-coding RNA (238 nucleotides) under Daucus carota (carrot). RNAcentral's name for it is "long non-coding RNA (DCAR_LNC007030)". Lineage: Eukaryota; Viridiplantae; Streptophyta; Magnoliopsida; Apiales; Apiaceae. The record is from RNAcentral.
AACAAAUUAAUUAGAGUGUACACAUGUUAUGUUCAUCUAUUCGUAAUUAUUUUAUUGAUGGACAAAAUUUCCAAUUGUGCCAGUUCAAAAAUUUAUUUUAUUCUUACUCAUGAAAAUUUGAAAUGUCUCGAAUCAUAUGGUUGUGACAUGUAUAUUCAUAAUUUUUACGGAUACCAGGUUAUUAUCAUUAUUUUUUUUGAGAAGUUAGAAGGAUGGGUAACACUACUAAUGACAGGAC